Molecule: ribosomal RNA, 465 nt
Filed under: Vreelandella stevensii
Lineage: Bacteria; Pseudomonadati; Pseudomonadota; Gammaproteobacteria; Oceanospirillales; Halomonadaceae
Description: partial 16S ribosomal RNA
Rfam family: Bacterial small subunit ribosomal RNA
Source: RNAcentral
CCUACGGGGGGCAGCAGUGGGGAAUAUUGGACGAUGGGGGCAACCCUGAUCCAGCCAUGCCGCGUGUGUGAAGAAGGCCCUCGGGUUGUAAAGCACUUUCAGUGAGGAAGAACGCCUGGUGGUUAAUACCCAUCAGGAAAGACAUCACUCACAGAAGAAGCACCGGCUAACUCCGUGCCAGCAGCCGCGGUAAUACGGAGGGUGCGAGCGUUAAUCGGAAUUACUGGGCGUAAAGCGCGCGUAGGUGGCUUGAUAAGCCGGUUGUGAAAGCCCCGGGCUCAACCUGGGAACGGCAUCCGGAACUGUCAAGCUAGAGUGCAGGAGAGGAAGGUAGAAUUCCCGGUGUAGCGGUGAAAUGCGUAGCGAUCGGGAGGAAUACCAGUGGCGAAGGCGGCCUUCUGGACUGACACUGACACUGAGGUGCGAAAGCGUGGGUAGCAAACAGGAUUAGAUACCCCUGUAGUC